GACGAACGCUGGCGGCGUGCCUAAUACAUGCAAGUCGAGCGAGGUUUGUCUGGUGCUUGCUCUAGACAAACUGCGCGGCUUACGGGUGAGUAACAGGGAAAGAACCUUCCGCAUACACUGGGAUAACGGUUGGUAACAGUAGGUAAUGCCUGAUAACACUGUAUCUCACAUGAGCGACGUUUAAUAGUUGGGUAUGCUAACACUAUGAGAUAGCUUUACGGUGCAUUGGCUAGUUGGUGGGGUGAAGACCGACCAAGGCGACGAUGCAUAGCCGACCUGAAAGCGUGAUCGGACAGCCUGGGAGUGAGACAGGGCCCACACUCCUACGGGAGGACGCAGCAGGGACUCUUCCGCAAUGGGGGAAAGCCUGACGGAGCAACGCCGCGUGAGUGAAGAAGGAUUUCGGUUCGUAAAGCUAUGUUGUUAGGGAAGAAUGGAUAUGUAGUAAGCAGACAUGUAAGAGACGGUACCUAACCAGAAAGCCACGGCUAACUACGUG
This 499-nucleotide ribosomal RNA is filed under the name uncultured bacterium. RNAcentral's name for it is "partial 16S ribosomal RNA". It matches the Rfam family "Bacterial small subunit ribosomal RNA", at positions 28 to 507 of the family's 1533-position model. The record is from RNAcentral.